AUCGCAGUGGCAACCCAGUAGAACGGGCCACUAGCUUCCAACCAAGUGGUUCGGAUUCGAAUUGUAAUGGAUCCUGCGGCUUCGAUUAAAUAUCAGGAUGUAUAUGACUGCGAGGGAGCUGAUUCACAUUCGGAAGAGUUAGUUGCGCCGAAUCGCCCCCUCCAAUCUCAUUUUCUGUACCAAAAAAAAGAAAAAAAAUCUUA
RNAcentral lists this long non-coding RNA (203 nucleotides) under Elaeis guineensis (African oil palm). Its description in RNAcentral is "long non-coding RNA (EGUI_LNC023203)". The record is from RNAcentral. Lineage: Eukaryota; Viridiplantae; Streptophyta; Magnoliopsida; Arecales; Arecaceae.